This 850-nucleotide ribosomal RNA is filed under the name Pichia manshurica. RNAcentral describes it as "eukaryotic LSU rRNA". The stretch from base 93 to 248 matches the Rfam family "5.8S ribosomal RNA". Lineage: Eukaryota; Fungi; Ascomycota; Pichiomycetes; Pichiales; Pichiaceae. The record is from RNAcentral.
GGGUGGUCUACGUGUAUAAUUGCACACAGCUGAGCGCACAAAACAGAUAUAACCGUGAGUCCAUUUUUGUCGAAACUUGAAAAAAAAUACAAAACUUUCAACAACGGAUCUCUUGGUUCUCGCAUCGAUGAAGAGCGCAGCGAAAUGCGAUACUCUUAGUGUGAAUUGCAGCCAUCCGUGAAUCAUCGAGUUCUUGAACGCACAUUGCGCCCGUCGGUAUUCCGGCGGGCAUGCCUGUCUGAGCGUCGUUUCCUUCUUGGAACUUUUGUUAAAGAAAGAUCCAGAGCUGGCCGUGCCACUGGCCCGGCCGAAAAGAAACGUUGCGGACGAAGCGAACUACAUCGGGACGCUUUGGCCGCCGAGCGAAAAUAUAUCAUUGAGCUCGACCUCAGAUCAGGUAGGAGUACCCGCUGAACUUAAGCAUAUCAAUAAGCGGAGGAACAUUACUGUGAAUUAACUUCCACACAUGCGUGAGCGCACAAAACACAUAAACCGUGAGUAAUUUUUGUCGAAACUUGAAAAAAAAAUACAAAACUUUCACAACGGAUCUCUGGUUUCGCUCGUGAAGAGCGCAGCGAAAUGCGAUACCUAGUGUGAAUUGAGCCUCGUGAAUCUCGAGUUCUUGAACGCACAUUGCGCCCUCGGUAUUCCGGCGGGCUGCCUGUCUGAGCGUCGUUUCUCUUGGACUUUUGUUAAGAAAAGUCAGAGCUGGGCCGUGCACUGGCCGGCGAAAAGAAACUUUGCGACGAACGACUACAUCGGACGCUUUGGCGCCGAGCGAAAUAUAUCAUUGAGCUCGACUCAGAUCAGGUAGGGAGUACCCGUGAACUAAGCUAUCAUAAGCGGAGGA